AUGCCCAGGGUUAGCAUCCACGCCCGGGGUCAGCGUGCACGUCCGGGGUCAGCGUCCACACCCGGGGUCAGAGUCCACGCCCAGGGUCAGCGUGCACGUCCAGGGUCAGCGUGCACGCCCGGGGUCAGCGUCCACGCCUGGGGUCAGCGUGCACGUCCGGGGUCAGCGUCCACGCCUGGGGUCAGCGUGCACGUCCGGGGUCAGUGUGCACACCCGGGGUCAGCGUCCACACCCGGGGUCAGCGUGCACAUCCAGAGUCAGCAUCCACGCCACGCCCAGGGUCAGUGUGCACGCCCGGGGUCAGCAUCCACGCCUGGGGUCAGCGUCCACGCCCAGGGUCAGUGUCCACACCUGGGGUCAGCGUGCACGUCCAAGAUCAGCGUCCACGCCCAGGGUCAGCGUGCACAUCCAGAGUCAGCAUCCACGCCAGGGGUCAGCGUCCAUGCCCGGGGUCAGUGUGCACAUCCGGGGUCAGCAUCCACGCCCAGGAUCAGCGUCCACGCCCGGGGUCAGCGUGCACGUCCGGGCAUGCAGGCAGGCUUGUGCUGUCUUCUUCUAAAGACGUAUUUGUUUAUUUAUUUGAAAGGCAGAGUCAGAGAGAAUGAGAAUCUUCCAUCUGCUGGUUCACUCCCCAGAUGCUGCAAUGGCCAGGGCUGGGCCAGGUCAAGGCCAGGAGCCGGGAGCUUCUUCUGGGUCUCCCACAUGGGCACAGGGGCCCAAGGACGUGGGCCGUCUCCCACUGCUUUCCCAGGCCAGAGCGGAGCUGGAUCAGAAGAGGAGCAGCCGGGACUGGAGCAGCCUGUGCCGCAGGCGGUGGCUUCACCUGAGGAAAGGGUUCCGGCCCCCACCUGGGGUAGAGUUCAGGAGAGGCGGAGGCUGCACUGGGUUCUCAGUAGGGAGACCCCAAACUGUGGCGCUCGCCACGCACAGCCCAAGCACACGAGGUCAGCACUCGGCUUUUCCUCGGGCGCUGUGCGGCCCGCACCCUGUCCCACGUCCCUCGCUCUGCCUCUCACUCCCUUGCUCUGGGCAACCCGCACUGCCUUCUGUGGGUGGCGGGGUCCAGGGGGUGGGGCAGUGGGGGGACAGUGUGGAGCUGGAAGCCUCGCCGGUCACACCCACCUUAGGGCUGCUCCUAAACUGUCCCAGGGAUGA
RNAcentral lists this long non-coding RNA (1155 nucleotides) under Oryctolagus cuniculus (rabbit). RNAcentral's name for it is "lncRNA (ENSOCUG00000039252.1)". Lineage: Eukaryota; Metazoa; Chordata; Mammalia; Lagomorpha; Leporidae. The record is from RNAcentral.